Thalassophryne amazonica is the source of this 502-nucleotide long non-coding RNA. RefSeq lists it as uncharacterized. The record is from RefSeq and is a predicted model, not a curated record. The transcript is spliced from 3 exons. Lineage: Eukaryota; Metazoa; Chordata; Actinopteri; Batrachoidiformes; Batrachoididae.
AGUGAUAUCUCUUCUACAGUUAAAUGUUUGCUGUGGUACAUUAAUAAUGAUAAAAUACAUAAUGAUUUGAAAAAAAAAUCAUAUUUUCCAUUUAUUUACUUUUUCAUUUUUUAAUGCUUCAAGCUGGAUUGCUCCAACAAAGCUUUGUUGUGUAAUGUACAUUGACCAUGAAGAGCUAGUUAUAAAAUGAUUUGGUCAAAUGGAUAACCUCAGUGCAUGCUGUUAUGUUUGUUAACAUAAAUUAGAACUGUGUAUUGAAUAUGUUCAGUGCAUUUUGCAAAUCUAAAGGUCCUACAGACUAAAUUGUGUGACUGCACAAGACUUCCAGAAGUGCACAGUGUCAUGGUCUGGAAGCAGAAAUGUUGGUCCAGUUUCCCAACAUUUUCUGUAUUUUACAAAUUCUAAUCCUAACCCAUCAAACAUAAAAAAUUUCAAGUUGCUAGGCAGCUGAUACAGGUUUGGACCCUCGUUCUGAAAAUGGAAUUGCUUCCAGAAAUGGUGA